GGUUGAUCCUGCCAGUAGUCAUACGCUAAUCUCAAAGAUUAAGCCAUGCACGUCUAAGUAUAGCAUUAUACAGUGAAACUGCGAAUGGCUCAUUAAAUCAGUUAUAGUUUAUUUGAUGUUAAACACUUACUUGGAUAUCUGUAGUAAUUCUAGAGUCAAUACAUGCUAAAAAGCCACUAGCAAUAGUGGCUGCAUUUAUGACUUUGUAACCCAAUUCAUUGGUGAUACUACAUAACUUCGCUGAUUGAUCUCACGAUCAAUAUGUCAUUCAAGUUUCUGCCCUAUCAGCUUG
This 292-nucleotide ribosomal RNA is filed under the name uncultured eukaryote. RNAcentral describes it as "partial 18S ribosomal RNA". It matches the Rfam family "Eukaryotic small subunit ribosomal RNA", at positions 6 to 324 of the family's 1831-position model. The record is from RNAcentral.